RNAcentral lists this ribosomal RNA (484 nucleotides) under uncultured bacterium. RNAcentral's name for it is "partial 16S ribosomal RNA". It matches the Rfam family "Bacterial small subunit ribosomal RNA", at positions 28 to 523 of the family's 1533-position model. The record is from RNAcentral.
GACGAACGCUGGCGGCGUGCUUAACACAUGCAAGUCGAACGAUGAAGCCGGUGCUUGCUCUGGUGAAUUAGUGGCGAACGGGUGAGUAACACGUGAGUAACCUGCCCUUGACUCUGGGAUAACUGCUAGAAAUGGUAGCUAAUACCGGAUACGACCCUCGGAGGCAUCUCCAGGGGGUGGAAAGAAUUUCGGUCAAGGAUGGACUCGCGGCCUAUCAGCUAGUUGGUGAGGUAACGGCUCACCAAGGCGACGACGGGUAGCCGGCCUGAGAGGGUGACCGGCCACACUGGGACUGAGACACGGCCCAGACUCCUACGGGAGGCAGCAGUGGGGAAUAUUGCACAAUGGGCGCAAGCCUGAUGCAGCGACGCCGCGUGAGGGAUGACGGCCUUCGGGUUGUAAACCUCUUUCAGCACCGACGAAGCGCAAGUGACGGUAGGUGCAGAAGAAGGACCGGCCAACUACGUGCCAGCAGCCGCAGUAA